Molecule: ribosomal RNA, 589 nt
Filed under: uncultured bacterium
Lineage: Bacteria
Description: bacterial SSU rRNA
Rfam family: Bacterial small subunit ribosomal RNA
Source: RNAcentral
UCCUACGGGAGGCAGCAGUAGGGAAUCUUCCGCAAUGGACGAAAGUCUGACGGAGCAACGCCGCGUGAGUGAUGAAGGUUUUCGGAUCGUAAAACUCUGUUGUUAGGGAAGAACAAGUUGGGUAGUAACUGACCCAACCUUGACGGUACCUAACCAGAAAGCCACGGCUAACUACGUGCCAGCAGCCGCGGUAAUACGUAGGUGGCAAGCGUUGUCCGGAAUUAUUGGGCGUAAAGCGCUCGCAGGCGGUCUUUUAAGUCUGAUGUGAAAGCCCACGGCUUAACCGUGGAGGGUCAUUGGAAACUGGAGGACUUGAGUACAGAAGAGGAGAGUGGAAUUCCACGUGUAGCGGUGAAAUGCGUAGAGAUGUGGAGGAACACCAGUGGCGAAGGCGACUUUCUGGUCUGUAACUGACACUGAGGCGCGAAAGCGUGGGGAGCAAACAGGAUUAGAUACCCUGGUAGUCCACGCCGUAAACGAUGAGUGCUAAGUGUUAGAGGGUUUCCGCCCUUUAGUGCUGAAGUUAACGCAUUAAGCACUCCGCCUGGGGAGUACGGCCGCAAGGCUGAAACUCAAAGGAAUUGACGGA